GUACACUCCUGCGGGAGGCAGCAGUGGGGAAUUUUGGACAAUGGGCGAAAGCCUGAUCCAGCAAUGCCGCGUGCAGGAUGAAGGCCUUCGGGUUGUAAACUGCUUUUGUACGGAACGAAAAGCUCCUUCUAAUACAGGGGGCCCAUGACGGUACCGUAAGAAUAAGCACCGGCUAACUACGUGCCAGCAGCCGCGGUAAUACGUAGGGUGCGAGCGUUAAUCGGAAUUACUGGGCGUAAAGCGUGCGCAGGCGGUUAUGUAAGACAGAUGUGAAAUCCCCGGGCUCAACCUGGGAACUUCAUUUGUGACUGCAUGGCUAGAGUACGGUAGAGGGGGAUGGAAUUCCGCGUGUAGCAGUGAAAUGCGUAGAUAUGCGGAGGAACACCGAUGGCGAAGGCAAUCCCCUGGACCUGUACUGACGCUCAUGCACGAAAGCGUGGGGAGCAAACAGGAUUAGAUACCCCGGUAGUCCC
RNAcentral lists this ribosomal RNA (473 nucleotides) under uncultured organism. RNAcentral describes it as "partial 16S ribosomal RNA". It matches the Rfam family "Bacterial small subunit ribosomal RNA", at positions 331 to 797 of the family's 1533-position model. The record is from RNAcentral.